This 1503-nucleotide ribosomal RNA is filed under the name Staphylococcus aureus. RNAcentral's name for it is "partial 23S ribosomal RNA". It matches the Rfam family "Bacterial large subunit ribosomal RNA", at positions 58 to 1559 of the family's 2925-position model. Lineage: Bacteria; Bacillati; Bacillota; Bacilli; Caryophanales; Staphylococcaceae. The record is from RNAcentral.
GUUACUAACGACGAUAUGCUUUGGGGAGCUGUAAGUAAGCUUUGAUCCAGAGAUUUCCGAAUGGGGAAACCCAGCAUGAGUUAUGUCAUGUUAUCGAUAUGUGAAUACAUAGCAUAUCAGAAGGCACACCCGGAGAACUGAAACAUCUUAGUACCCGGAGGAAGAGAAAGAAAAUUCGAUUCCCUUAGUAGCGGCGAGCGAAACGGGAAGAGCCCAAACCAACAAGCUUGCUUGUUGGGGUUGUAGGACACUCUAUACGGAGUUACAAAGGACGACAUUAGACGAAUCAUCUGGAAAGAUGAAUCAAAGAAGGUAAUAAUCCUGUAGUCGAAAAUGUUGUCUCUCUUGAGUGGAUCCUGAGUACGACGGAGCACGUGAAAUUCCGUCGGAAUCUGGGAGGACCAUCUCCUAAGGCUAAAUACUCUCUAGUGACCGAUAGUGAACCAGUACCGUGAGGGAAAGGUGAAAAGCACCCCGGAAGGGGAGUGAAAUAGAACCUGAAACCGUGUGCUUACAAGUAGUCAGAGCCCGUUAAUGGGUGAUGGCGUGCCUUUUGUAGAAUGAACCGGCGAGUUACGAUUUGAUGCAAGGUUAAGCAGUAAAUGUGGAGCCGUAGCGAAAGCGAGUCUGAAUAGGGCGUUUAGUAUUUGGUCGUAGACCCGAAACCAGGUGAUCUACCCUUGGUCAGGUUGAAGUUCAGGUAACACUGAAUGGAGGACCGAACCGACUUACGUUGAAAAGUGAGCGGAUGAACUGAGGGUAGCGGAGAAAUUCCAAUCGAACCUGGAGAUAGCUGGUUCUCUCCGAAAUAGCUUUAGGGCUAGCCUCAAGUGAUGAUUAUUGGAGGUAGAGCACUGUUUGGACGAGGGGCCCCUCUCGGGUUACCGAAUUCAGACAAACUCCGAAUGCCAAUUAAUUUAACUUGGGAGUCAGAACAUGGGUGAUAAGGUCCGUGUUCGAAAGGGAAACAGCCCAGACCACCAGCUAAGGUCCCAAAAUAUAUGUUAAGUGGAAAAGGAUGUGGCGUUGCCCAGACAACUAGGAUGUUGGCUUAGAAGCAGCCAUCAUUUAAAGAGUGCGUAAUAGCUCACUAGUCGAGUGACACUGCGCCGAAAAUGUACCGGGGCUAAACAUAUUACCGAAGCUGUGGAUUGUCCUUUGGACAAUGGUAGGAGAGCGUUCUAAGGGCGUUGAAGCAUGAUCGUAAGGACAUGUGGAGCGCUUAGAAGUGAGAAUGCCGGUGUGAGUAGCGAAAGACGGGUGAGAAUCCCGUCCACCGAUUGACUAAGGUUUCCAGAGGAAGGCUCGUCCGCUCUGGGUUAGUCGGGUCCUAAGCUGAGGCCGACAGGCGUAGGCGAUGGAUAACAGGUUGAUAUUCCUGUACCACCUAUAAUCGUUUUAAUCGAUGGGGGGACGCAGUAGGAUAGGCGAAGCGUGCGAUUGGAUUGCACGUCUAAGCAGUAAGGCUGAGUAUUAGGCAAAUCCGGUACUCGUUAAGGCUGA